RNAcentral lists this small RNA (127 nucleotides) under Marmota monax (woodchuck). Lineage: Eukaryota; Metazoa; Chordata; Mammalia; Rodentia; Sciuridae. The record is from RNAcentral.
GUUGGGCAUGGUGGCGCUUACCUGUAAUCCCAGUGGCUCAGGAGGCUGAGGCAGGAGGAUCCUGAGUUCAAAGCCAGCCUCAGCAACUCAGCGAGGGCCUAAGCAACUUAGCGAGACUCUGUCUCUA